This 343-nucleotide unclassified non-coding RNA is filed under the name soil metagenome. RNAcentral's name for it is "partial contains 5.8S ribosomal RNA, internal transcribed spacer 2, and large subunit ribosomal RNA". The stretch from base 1 to 120 matches the Rfam family "5.8S ribosomal RNA", at positions 35 to 154 of the family's 154-position model. The record is from RNAcentral.
GAUGAAGAACGUAGCGAAAUGCGAUACGUAAUGUGAAUUGCAGAAUUCAGUGAAUCAUCGAGUCUUUGAACGCACAUUGCGCCCUCUGGUACUCCGGAGGGCAUGCCUGUCCGAGCGUCAUUGCUGCCCUCAAGCACGGCUUGUGUGUUGGGCCCCGUCCUCCUUCCGGGGGACGGGUCCGAAAGGCAGCGGCGGCACCGCGUCCGGUCCUCAAGCGUAUGGGGCUUUGUCACUCGCUUUGUAGGCCUGGCCGGCGCUUGCCGAUCAACCAAACUUUUUAUCAGGUUGACCUCGGAUCAGGUAGGGAUACCCGCUGAACUUAAGCAUAUCAAUAAGCGGAGGA